GAUAAACCUUCAGCACUCUGUUGCCCAACGGGUGUGCGUUUCCUCAGGCUGGUUCCACCUGUGUAGCCAGAGCAGUAUGUACUUAAGGAAAACAGCACAGACACAUCCAGAUUCCUGCUAGGAUUUGGAAUUGGCAUCGAGCAACACCCACUCCUCCACCCGGACCAGAAACCACCGAGAUGUCCCUCCCUCGGAUGAAGCUCAUGUGUCACUCACAACCCAUGGCAGAGGGCGUGCAGGGGCUUGGAGCAGAGGACAGUUGGAAUGGGAAGAUAUAGCAUGGUUAACCAGAAUCCAGACUCAUCUGAGCUCCUUGGGCAUCUCCCACUGCAACAUUCAGGACCUGAGGGUGCAUCUCCCACUGAGAAUCUGCUCCUCCAGAGCCGCUCCAUCACUGACGGGAAAGGAAGCAGUCACAGCUUGUGUGUGAGUGUAUGCAGUGAGAGUUACUGCGUGGCAACAGCUACAGCACAGCCAGCAGGUCGGACAGAAUGCGGGCGGUUCUGUGUCCAUACUGUGCUCCCUGAACACAGAGCUCACUGCCCUUUGUCCUGGUGAUCUUCAGUAGAAUGCAAUGGGCAGAGCCUGGAUAUGCAUACACACAUCUGUCAGUGACUGCUGAGAGAUUUUUA
Molecule: long non-coding RNA, 632 nt
Organism: Gallus gallus (chicken)
Lineage: Eukaryota; Metazoa; Chordata; Aves; Galliformes; Phasianidae
Source: Ensembl